UUUUGUUAACAAUUAAAUUAACAAAGAACUGCAAUGGUGAAAAAACAGGUAACAAAUCAGAAAGAAAAGCAUAAGUGUAACUAUCUUUUUGUCGCGUCCCCGUACUAGAUUUUGCUCAUCUUAAGUUCGCUGUAACUCGGUACGGCGUUUUUUUCUUUAAAAUUUCAGCAAAUUAAAUUUUGACUGGAAAUGAAUGCAUGCCACAACCCCUCGCCUUUUUUUUACAGAAUAUCGUAACGCCACAACAUUGUGUCAACAUUCGACAUGUGCCCAUGGCAUAACAUUUGCUAACAUUAAAACUAUAUUUUUGUACUGAUGGCCAAAAAUAUAAAGAUAAUUCCAAAAUCUACAGUUUUACGGUUUUAUUGUGUUGGUUAUUUUGACAUCUUAGCGUACCAACCAACUUGAAUUUAGCAUAAUUAUAAAAUUUACUUUAUCGUUCGGUAAAAUGUUUCGAAAACUCAAAAACGGUUCUAGCUCUACGAGGUUCAUUUCUGCAAGCUCUAUUUUUUGUCGAGCGUAGAAAAAGCCUCCGACACUCAGGGCACAAAAGUUUAUCACCUUGAAAAUUAAUUUUCUUGUAAAUACGGUAAAAUGAAGUUUGUUUUACCGAAGCUUUUAUUUAUAGAAUAUCAUUUUAUUUGUGGGAAAGAUUACAUUUAGGUUCCUGCUGUUCGGAAAAACAAAGAAACACUAGAACAUAAAACCAGUAAAAUUGUUGUUCUUGUAAAGAGAAAAUACGAAAUUUAUUGAAUAUUAAAGCAAAAACGUUACGGUUGAACGGCUGAAAUUAAUAAUUAGUAUAAUGUAAAGAAACUCAAGACCUAUCCAUACAUGUUUUGCUAUUACCAAUUACCUUACCAGUUUUGUAAACGUUUCUUGACGAUCAUAAAAUUCGUGCAAAACUUGACAUUAUCAAAAACAAAUUGUAUAUGCCUAAAUUGUAAAAUGAUAGUCAAACCAAAGAUUUAUAAAUAAUAUACAUUUAAUCUGCGCAAGGUACUUUCGUUUUGGUUCGAGAGAAAUUACCUUUAAAGUUUCUCAUUUUAAAGAAACCAAAAAAUGAACAUGAUGAACUACAGCAAUAACUUGCAAAGCUGAGUCGAUUUUUAUAAUAAUAUUUGAAUAAUAGGUAACGAUUAGGAGCAUUUAUGGUAAUAUACAUGUCGACUACGCAGGUAAUCGCGUUCGACGAAGAAGAACGCAUACUAAUCAUUUCGUAUAUUAAUCCCGCGUGUUUUACGAUGAUGUCCCGCGUGUGUCUGCAUAUGUCAUUCGAUUUUCAGGUUUGACGCCAUCUAGCUGCAUGGGUGGCUUGGUGGUACGAAUUAACAAAAUACGAGUUACUUCCUUAUAAGUGUAAUUUAAUUAACCUUGGCAUAUGCAUAUAUGCAUAUA
Non-coding RNA from Paramuricea clavata, 1398 nucleotides. Lineage: Eukaryota; Metazoa; Cnidaria; Anthozoa; Malacalcyonacea; Plexauridae. The record is from the annotation of a GenBank genome assembly.